UAAACUAGGAUUAGAUACCCUAUUAUUUUAAAGGUUAAUCUUAAAUAUCAAAUUAGUAUUAGUUAUUUUCUUGAAAAUUAAAAAAUUUGGCGGUAUUUUAGUCUUUUCAGAGGAACCUGUCCUAUAAUUGAUAGUCCACGAUAAUAUUUACUUUUAUUAUUAGUUUACAUAUCGUCGUAGUUUAAAUAUUUUAAUAGAAAAUAUUUAAAAUUUUGUAUUAAAAAAUAAAUCAGAUCAAGGUGUAGUAUAUAUAAAAGAAGAGAUGGGUGACAUUAAAUUUAUUUUUUGAAUAAUUUUUUUUAAAAAAAUUUGAAUUUGGAUUUGAAAGUAAUUUUUUAUAUUGUUUAAAAACGAUUAAAGCUCUAAGAUAUGCACACAUCGCCCGUCGCUCUUAA
Molecule: ribosomal RNA, 395 nt
Filed under: Bruchidius biguttatus
Lineage: Eukaryota; Metazoa; Arthropoda; Insecta; Coleoptera; Chrysomelidae
Description: partial 12S small subunit ribosomal RNA
Source: RNAcentral